This 253-nucleotide ribosomal RNA is filed under the name uncultured bacterium. Its description in RNAcentral is "partial 16S ribosomal RNA". It matches the Rfam family "Bacterial small subunit ribosomal RNA", at positions 524 to 776 of the family's 1533-position model. The record is from RNAcentral.
UACAGAGGGUGCGAGCGUUAAUCGGAAUUACUGGGCGUAAAGCGCGCGUAGGCGGCUUUGCAAGUCGGGUGUGAAAUCCCCAGGCUUAACCUGGGAACUGCAUUCGAGACUGCAUUGCUAGAGUAUGGGAGAGGGCAGUGGAAUUUCCGGUGUAGCGGUGAAAUGCGUAGAUAUGUGGAGGAACACCGAUGGCGAAGGCAGCCCCCUGGGUCAAGAUUGACGCUCAUGCACGAAAGCGUGGGGAGCAAACAGG